CCUACGGGUGGCAGCAGUGAGGAAUAUUGGUCAAUGGGCGAAAGCCUGAACCAGCCAAGUCGCGUGAAGGAAGACGGCCCUAUGGGUUGUAAACUUCUUUUGUCAGGGAGCAAGUGGGUCCACGCGUGGCCUUAGUGAGAGAACCUGAAGAAAAAGCAUCGGCUAACUCCGUGCCAGCAGCCGCGGUAAUACGGAGGAUGCGAGCUUUAUCCGGAUUUAUUGGGUUUAAAGGGUGCGGAGGCGGAAUAUAAAGUCAGCGGUAAAAACUCGGGGCUCAACCCCGUCGUGCCGUUGAUACUGUUGUUCUUGAGUGGGCGAGAGGUAUGCGGAAUGCGUGGUGUAGCGGUGAAAUGCAUAGAUAUCACGCAGAACUCCGAUUGCGAAGGCAGCAUACCGGCGCCCAACUGACGCUGAAGCACGAAAGCGUGGGUAUCGAACAGGAUUAGAUACCCUUGUAGUC
This 460-nucleotide ribosomal RNA is filed under the name uncultured bacterium. Its description in RNAcentral is "partial 16S ribosomal RNA". It matches the Rfam family "Bacterial small subunit ribosomal RNA", at positions 338 to 795 of the family's 1533-position model. The record is from RNAcentral.